Molecule: small RNA, 28 nt
Filed under: Bombyx mori (domestic silkworm)
Lineage: Eukaryota; Metazoa; Arthropoda; Insecta; Lepidoptera; Bombycidae
Description: ovarian small RNA-784
Source: RNAcentral
UUUCGGACAAGUUAUUUGUGGGAGACUC